Molecule: ribosomal RNA, 253 nt
Filed under: uncultured bacterium
Lineage: Bacteria
Description: partial 16S ribosomal RNA
Rfam family: Bacterial small subunit ribosomal RNA
Source: RNAcentral
UACGAAGGGGGCUAGCGUUGUUCGGAAUCACUGGGCGUAAAGGGCGCGUAGGCGGCUUUAUAAGUCGGGUGUGAAAGCCUGUGGCUCAACCACAGAAUUGCCUUCGAUACUGUAGAGCUUGAGACCGGAAGAGGUAAGUGGAACUGCGAGUGUAGAGGUGAAAUUCGUAGAUAUCAAGAGGAACACCUGCGGCGAAGGCGGGUUGCUGGGCCGACACUGACGCUGAAGCGCGAAAGCUAGGGGAGCGAACGGG